GACGAACGCUGGCGGCGUGCUUAACACAUGCAAGUCGAACGGAAAGGCCCUGCUUUUGUGGGGUGCUCGAGUGGCGAACGGGUGAGUAACACGUGAGUAACCUGCCCUUGACUUUGGGAUAACUUCAGGAAACUGGGGCUAAUACCGGAUAGGAGCUCCUGCUGCAUGGUGGGGGUUGGAAAGUUUCGGCGGUUGGGGAUGGACUCGCGGCUUAUCAGCUUGUUGGUGGGGUAGUGGCUUACCAAGGCUUUGACGGGUAGCCGGCCUGAGAGGGUGACCGGCCACAAUGGGACUGAGGGACGGCGCAGACUCCUACGGGAGGCAGCAGUGGAGAAUAUUGCACAAUGGGCGGAAGCCUGAUGCAGCAACGCCGCGUGCGGGAUGACGGCCUUCGGGUUGUAAACCGCUUUCGCCUGUGACGAAGCGUGAGUGACGGUAAUGGGUAAAGAAGCACCGGCUAACUACGUG
RNAcentral lists this ribosomal RNA (468 nucleotides) under uncultured bacterium. RNAcentral's name for it is "partial 16S ribosomal RNA". It matches the Rfam family "Bacterial small subunit ribosomal RNA", at positions 28 to 507 of the family's 1533-position model. The record is from RNAcentral.